RNAcentral lists this long non-coding RNA (1850 nucleotides) under Gallus gallus (chicken). RNAcentral describes it as "lncRNA (ENSGALG00010019694.1)". The record is from RNAcentral. Lineage: Eukaryota; Metazoa; Chordata; Aves; Galliformes; Phasianidae.
CACACAGGUGGGGAAGGUUAGAAGGCAACAGAUAGAGAAUGGUACUGAUUGUGUUAAGCAUAAAACACCAUCUGUUUCAUAAGUAAGACGGGAACAAAAUCUGCACGUCUUGAGGGAUACUAUCCCGCUGCUAGAAGUCAGUGCUCUUUUUUAUUUAUUUUUUAUUUUCUUGCUACAUUUUCAAGCUUCAGCAUAAAGCAGUUAGAACGUAGAAAUGGUCAGCUCAUAAAUCAGGGGGCUGUUGAAAAGAUGCUGAAGUUUAAAUUACCACAGGGCCUCUUGGACCUGUAACAUGUCAGGAAAAGAGGGAAUUUUAAAUGAGUAUUGUGGUUGGCAUGAGAGAAGAUAGAAUGAAUUUCAGUUCCCAAUGUUUUUAAAUAGAGGAGUACACGCUUAAAUAUCAACAAAUGUGAUGGUGAAAAUGUUCUUCCUUGACUAUUGCUUUCUUCUCAAUUUCAAAUGACCAAGUGGAAAAAAAAAAAGGUUUUGGAAUGGCACAGUCAAUAGGACAGCAUAUUAACUUCUUUGUUAUCGAAUCAGAAAACUUUCUUGAGGGUUGCUGGUUAUGAAGAAGCAUUACAAGCAAAGAUACAUGGCUGAAUGCCAAUGUGACUAAGCUGCAGAGCUAUGUGGAUGCUGUGGGCCCUGCACAUGGCCGCAAGGGGAAAGGGGCAAUGCUCCUCUGUGCUGUAUAUGCAGAAAAUUCUGCAUGGGAAAAGCUGUGGGUGGGAGCAGAUAGCUGCAAACUUCUGAAAGAGAAGGUGUGUUGGAAUGUUAAAAUGAAAGACAAAGAUUUCAGAAGAUCUUGAAGACGAUGAUGUGCUCAGAAAUCAUCUGCCCAUAUGAAGUGCUUCUUCCUGAAUCCAAAGGCUGAAUGUGUACUAAUACAUCAAAAAUCUAUCUUUGGAAGCAUGCUCCCCUGCUCAAACAUUUAAAACACCAGGAUUUCAUCACGGGGCAGACUAAGUGCAAGAAUUCUUCCCGGGUGUUGAAGUUCUGCAACCACCACCACACUGUAGAUAGAAGCUUUACAUAAAAUCAGUAGUCAACAGCUGCGUGAGGGAAUCCCGCUAACAGAAGCUGUGUCAAUGCCAGGGGCAGUUCCAAUUCUAUGCACCAUCAGGACCGGACAGCAACGGGCGGACGGAGAUGGUGGAUGAGAGCUGCCAGGUGCAUGCAACUUCUUGCCCAAGAUUUCCAAGACCUGAUGGUGUGGAGAGCUUUAAAAGAAGGAUCUGAAGGAAAGCAGUGAUGCAACUUCGUGGGUGCCUCUUGCUGUGAUUUAGUGCUGUCUGUGCUCAGGCACCAGCUCAGCCUGCAGCCAGGCAUCACUUCUAUCACUAAAGUAGUGCUGCACACUGUGUGGAUAUCCCACAGACUAGUCAAAAGAGGACAAAGCAUCUCUCCUCUCACUUGGAGUACAGCAUGCACCAGUAACUUGCAUGAGAAUUGUAUUACCCAGAACCUGCAUGAUGACUUCACACACCACAAAAUAUGGGCAGUCACAGGAGUGCAACUGCAGGGGCCCUCCUUGGCUUUCUUCAGAUCACAGUUUGCCAGCUCCCAUCCCAGAAAUGUGAGUCCUGAGAAUGACUGCAGAAACUUUUACUUGUCUGAGCUCCAGGAGUAUUUAUGUAAUUUAAUCGAUGAACUGCACUGAUUUAUUUGCACUAAGUAACUCCUUGGGAUCUGGAUAAUAGAUAAGGGUGUGCACAGUGCUGUACAAACACAUCAUAAAUAAAUGCAGCUUGCAAAUCAAUUGUCAGAUAUUGAUGAUUAAUCUCCUUAUAGUAAAAUAAUGUUACAUCUGUCCAUUAUGGCUUUUUUUUCUUUUCUUUUUUUAAUUUUAA